This 119-nucleotide ribosomal RNA is filed under the name Mola mola (ocean sunfish). The record is from RNAcentral. Lineage: Eukaryota; Metazoa; Chordata; Actinopteri; Tetraodontiformes; Molidae.
CCUCAAGGCCACACCACCCUGAGCAAGCCGGAUCUCGUCUUAUCUUGGAAGCUAAGCAGGGUCGGGUCUUGUUAGUACUUGGAUUGGAGACUGCCUGGGACUGCCUGGUGUUGAAAGUU